RNAcentral lists this ribosomal RNA (412 nucleotides) under uncultured eukaryote. RNAcentral describes it as "bacterial SSU rRNA". It matches the Rfam family "Eukaryotic small subunit ribosomal RNA", at positions 592 to 1012 of the family's 1831-position model. The record is from RNAcentral.
CAAUAGCGUAUAUUAAAGUUGUUGCGGUAAAAAGCUCGUAGUUGGAUUUCUGUUGAGAACGAUCGGUCCAUACCAUGUAUGCGCAUCUGAUUCGAUCUCGGCAUCCUCUCGAAAGGCAGUUCUGCGCUUGAUUGCGUGGGCUGAAUCUCGGGACUUUUACUUUGAGGAAAUUAGAGUGUUCACGGCAGGCAAUCGCCAGAAUACAUUAGCAUGGAAUAAUAGAAAAGGACUUCAACCUCUUCUGUUGGUCUGAGGGGCUGUAGUAAUGAUAAUAGGGAUAGUUGGGGGCAUUAGUACUUGACUGUCAGAGGUGAAAUUCUCCGAUUUGUUAAAGACUAACUUAUGCGAAAGCAUUUGCCAAGGAUGUUUUCAUUAAUCAAGAACGAAAGUUAGGGGAUCAAAGACGAUUAGA